Molecule: ribosomal RNA, 388 nt
Filed under: uncultured bacterium
Lineage: Bacteria
Description: bacterial SSU rRNA
Rfam family: Bacterial small subunit ribosomal RNA
Source: RNAcentral
GACGAACGCUGGCGGCGUGCUUAACACAUGCAAGUCGAGCGGUAAGGCCCCUUCGGGGGUACACGAGCGGCGAACGGGUGAGUAACACGUGGGUGACCUGCCCUCAGCUCUGGGAUAAGCCUGGGAAACCGGGUCUAAUACUGGAUAUGACUCCAUGACGCAUGUUGUGGGGUGGAAAGCCUUGUGCGGCUGAGGAUGGGCCCGCGGCCUAUCAGCUUGUUGGUGGGGUGANGGCCUACCAAGGCGACGACGGGUAGCCGGCCUGAGAGGGCGACCGGCCACACUGGGACUGAGACACGGCCCAGACUCCUACGGGAGGCAGCAGUGGGGAAUCUUGCGCAAUGGGCGAAAGCCUGACGCAGCGACGCCGCGUGAGGGAUGACGGCCU